This 566-nucleotide ribosomal RNA is filed under the name uncultured bacterium. RNAcentral's name for it is "bacterial SSU rRNA". It matches the Rfam family "Bacterial small subunit ribosomal RNA", at positions 28 to 635 of the family's 1533-position model. The record is from RNAcentral.
GAUGAACGCUGGCGGUAUGCUUUACACAUGCAAGUCGUACGAGAGUUUUUAACUCAAGUGGCGGACGGGUGAGUAACACGUAAGAGUUUACCUUUAGGAGGGGGACAACAACUGGAAACGGUUGCUAAUACCCCAUAUGCUUUCGAGUGAAACGGUUUUUCCGCCUAAAGAGAAGCUUGCGGCUGAUUAGCUUGUUGGUGAGGUAAGAGCUCACCAAGGCGACGAUCAGUAUCUGGUUUGAGAGGACGAUCAGACACACUGGAACUGAGACACGGUCCAGACUCCUACGGGAGGCAGCAGUGGGGAAUUUUCCGCAAUGGGCGAAAGCCUGACGGAGCAAUACCGCGUGAGGGAUGACGGCCUAUGGGUUGUAGACCUCUUUUUUCAGGGAGGAAUCAAUGACGUGUACCUGAGGAAUAAGCAUCGGCUAACUCCGUGCCAGCAGCCGCGGUAAGACGGAGGAUGCAAGUGUUAUCCGGAAUCACUGGGCGUAAAGCGUCUGUAGGUGGUCCAAUAAGUCAACUGUUAAAUCUUGAGGCUCAACCUCAAAAUCGCAGUCGAAACUA